RNAcentral lists this small nuclear RNA (133 nucleotides) under Coprinopsis cinerea okayama7#130. Its description in RNAcentral is "U4 spliceosomal RNA". It matches the Rfam family "U4 spliceosomal RNA". Rfam says of the family: U4 small nuclear RNA (U4 snRNA) is a component of the major U2-dependent spliceosome. The structure of U4 snRNA from yeast and human has been reported. U4 snRNA presents a k-turn RNA motif in the 5p-SL related to recognition of Snu13 protein. Lineage: Eukaryota; Fungi; Basidiomycota; Agaricomycetes; Agaricales; Psathyrellaceae. The record is from Rfam by way of RNAcentral.
UCUCUUGUGCUCGGGCAUGUGCUGUCGCCAGUGAGGUUUCUACCGAGGCACAGCCUAUUUGCUGAUUGCAAAUUACACAUCCGAACCCGUCUCUUAGCUUCGGCUAUGAGCAAUUUUUGGAAAAAUUUCACUU